RNAcentral lists this microRNA (25 nucleotides) under Gyrodactylus salaris (gyrodactylosis fluke). Its description in RNAcentral is "gsa-miR-71b-5p". Its record names the gene gsa-miR-71b-5p. Lineage: Eukaryota; Metazoa; Platyhelminthes; Monogenea; Gyrodactylidea; Gyrodactylidae. The record is from miRBase by way of RNAcentral.
UGAAAGACUUGCGUAGUGAGACGCU